UUCUAUAAAAAUAUAUUAUUUAUCUUUCUAAUUUAAUCUCAUGUUAUUAUAGCGGACUGAGGAUAAAGAUAACUCUUUGGGGUAAUGCUGCUGAUUACAUAAAUGAAGGUGAAAUUUUACAAAAUUUCACUCAUCAAAUUCUAAUUGUAACAUCAACAAUGGUUAAAGCAUUUUGAGGUAUUCAAAAUAUUUUUUUAUUUUUUUUAUAUUAAAAUUUUUAUUCUUAAUGAGAUAUUUAUAUUAUAGGGGAGCAUUAUCUUUUCUUUACGAGUGCA
This 275-nucleotide long non-coding RNA is filed under the name Elaeis guineensis (African oil palm). Its description in RNAcentral is "long non-coding RNA (EGUI_LNC004271)". Lineage: Eukaryota; Viridiplantae; Streptophyta; Magnoliopsida; Arecales; Arecaceae. The record is from RNAcentral.